Molecule: ribosomal RNA, 394 nt
Filed under: Eusiridae sp. BOLD:ADF7844
Lineage: Eukaryota; Metazoa; Arthropoda; Malacostraca; Amphipoda; Eusiridae
Description: partial 16S ribosomal RNA
Rfam family: Bacterial large subunit ribosomal RNA
Source: RNAcentral
CGGAUGAACGGUUUAACAAAUGAAUAAAAUUCCUUUACCUUACUUAUCAAAAUUCUAACUUAAGUUAAAAUACUUAAACGCCUGAGAGGGACGAUAAGACCCUAAAAUUUUCAACGUAUUUUAACUUAAGUUAGAAUUACAUAAAUUAAGUUCACUAUCAUUUUGACUGGGGUAGUCUUUUUAUUUAAAUUAAAUUAAUUAAAACGACCUAGCGGACCAAAGAUCCCUAAAAUAAGGAUACACGGGACUAAUUACUUUAGGGAUAACAGCGUAAUACUUGUGGAGAGCCCAUAUCUAUGCAAGUGAUUGCGACCUCGAUGUUGAAUUAAAAAAUCUAUUAGGAGCAAACCCCUAUUAAGAGGGUUUGUUCAACCCUUAAAAUUUUACAUGAUUU